ACACAAAUACAAAAUCAAACCUCAAAAAUCCACCCAAAUAUUCUCAAACAUCUCCCCCCCAAAAAAACCAAAAUCUACCUACUAUAUUACUUUAUACUCUCACCUCUAAUUUCACUAAAAACUAUCCCCCACCACCAUCUCACUCUCUCUAUCAAAAAAUUAACUUACAACUCCAAUUCAUAAAAUUCCUUAUCAUUCUUCCCUUUAACUUCCAACUAAAUCUCCAUCUAAAACGCGAAACCCACCACGCUUACUAAUUAUACCUAAACUACUAAAACCCACUCAAAAAAAUAUCUAAAAUAAAACACCUUUCGCUAUUCAAAAAAACACCUACAACCUACAUAAAUAAUACAAACUUCUUAUCUUAAAAUUUAAUUAAUCUUCCACAUAAACCAAACUACUCAAUCUCUUUUCUCCACCAAAUUUUCCUACUAAACUCUCCUCAUACUAUUAUUCUUAACAUCUCUAAUUAACAUAUAAAUAAUCACCUAAACCAUCUCUCCUUCAAAUACCCUAAAUCAAUUAAAACUAAUCCCCGACAAAUAACGACCGAACAAAAACCUCAAAAAACAAUACUCAAAAAACUAAACAAACACAAACCACACAAUCAACAAACAAUAAACAUAAAACUCAACAAUAACAAAUCAUACUACUCAACUAACAAU
This 665-nucleotide unclassified non-coding RNA is filed under the name Hevea brasiliensis (rubber tree). The record is from RNAcentral. Lineage: Eukaryota; Viridiplantae; Streptophyta; Magnoliopsida; Malpighiales; Euphorbiaceae.